Anneissia japonica is the source of this 487-nucleotide long non-coding RNA. RefSeq lists it as uncharacterized. NCBI's taxonomy places the organism in Eukaryota, Metazoa, Echinodermata, Crinoidea, Comatulida, Comatulidae. The record is from RefSeq and is a predicted model, not a curated record. The transcript has 2 exons.
GGAUACGAUUUAUCUGAUGUUGGAUUACAGGUUAAGAAGCGUAACCCGCUGAUCGUUUUCUCUCUGAAGAUAACAUCAUCAUAAAUGUUUGUUUUCAAUAACUUCGCAUGUGGUUGAAAGAGAAACAAAUAAGCCUAAUUGAAGACGUGAAGAGAUUAGUUGGAACGCGCAGAAUGGUUAGACGUCACAUGAUUUGAAGCAGUAUAUUAGACAAGCACCCGGGAGAGGUUCUAGAUGGAUAAACAAGCAUAAUCUUCAGAACAAGGAGUUUAAACACUAUACAGUUACAGGAAGAUGACAUUCUUUCGAAGAAGUGUAAAAGCAUGUAAAGUCUGCUUGCUUGUUAAAAGCGGAAGCCCUGCGAGGAUUCGUGGCUGGUUUGCUGAAAUUCCACCGUGAUAUGUUUAAUAACUCAACCUAGGCUUGGUUGGUAAACUUCCAUAAAUAAAAACUGAUCAAGGCAACUGACGACUCUGUCACCCCGAGU